RNAcentral lists this small nuclear RNA (19 nucleotides) under Arabidopsis thaliana (thale cress). RNAcentral describes it as "snRNA_02272". The record is from RNAcentral. Lineage: Eukaryota; Viridiplantae; Streptophyta; Magnoliopsida; Brassicales; Brassicaceae.
CCAGUCAACCAUAGAGUCU